Molecule: small nuclear RNA, 160 nt
Organism: Sorex araneus (European shrew)
Lineage: Eukaryota; Metazoa; Chordata; Mammalia; Eulipotyphla; Soricidae
Product: U1 spliceosomal RNA
Exons: 1
Source: RefSeq, a predicted model, not a curated record
AUACUUACCUAGCAGGGUAGAUACUUUGAUCAUAAAGGUGGUUUUCUCAAGGGGAGGCUUAACCAUUGCACACGGGAUGUGCUGACCCCUGUUUUCCCCAAAUGUGGGAAACUCCACUACUUAACUUGUGGUAGAGGGGAACUGUAUUUACACUCUCCCA